AUGCCUUCUCUCUAGGGAUUGGGUAAAUGCUAAUGCAAUUCCUUCUCGUCCAUGUUGAAUCCCACAGAAAUUUGCUUCCUUGCACCUUGACUGACUCAUACACAUGGAUUUCUGGUGAACCCGAGAGGAGCAGUCUUAUAUAGAACUAUAAACUUCAAGAUUCUUAGAUUAAAUGAACUCAUCAUCGGAAGGUGAUCCUCAGAGAGAACCCCCCCGCCCCCGAUUGAACUGUGAAAACUCCAUCCCCGGAAAGAAAUAAGGAGAACUUGUAAUGAGGGGACACUCUACCUUGCUUGCCUGCCUUCCCCUAACUGAGAGACUUACUAAGAAGCACAUAAACUUUACUGAAUCCCGUCUGAGACAACUCUCUACCAAGUUCAGUGUCCUCUGGUCAAGGAGUCCUUUAGACCUUAAAUUGAAUUCUAAGAACUUUGCUGACUUAUGUUUGACCUCCUGCUAUACCACAAGGCUUCACCUAGAUUUUGGAGAUAAAAAGCACUGCCAGAAGCAAGUACUAGAGUCUUUGAAAACUUAAAAAACCCCCACCCAAAUCCUUAAUUAUCGACUAUUUUAUGAUCCCAGGUGUUGCUUUUCUUUUUUUAAUAAAAUUUAAAACAAAAUUCAAAA
This is a long non-coding RNA of Ornithorhynchus anatinus (platypus), 627 nucleotides long. RefSeq lists it as uncharacterized. The transcript is spliced from 3 exons. The record is from RefSeq and is a predicted model, not a curated record. NCBI's taxonomy places the organism in Eukaryota, Metazoa, Chordata, Mammalia, Monotremata, Ornithorhynchidae.